CUGCUAGUUUACAAGCUACUAUUUAUACGUUUUUAUUUUCUGCAUUUGUUUGACCAGGCGGUGAACGCCAAUGUUGAAGUAUGCCGUGAUUUUAAACGAGGAGAAUGCAAUCGAUCUGCCUGUCGCUUUUUCCAUCCACAUACAAGCUGAAGUUUUCUGUUGCCUAAAGAAUACAGUGCCAGGUACCAAGCUGAUUGAAACGGCAAGGUAUCUGAAAGGUUGGGUGAUGAUGAGGCCUUAUGCCAAGCGUGCCAUUCUGUUGCUGCUCGAAUGCGUGCGGUCUACAGGUAAGCGAUUUUAAGGGCAUGUACAACGGCCAUGUACAAUUGGUUUUCUAUGUACAAGAGACAUUUAAGAAACUGUAUCAUACAGUGGAGAGUUCUUAAAAUCAGUCAUAUCAGAC
Molecule: long non-coding RNA, 403 nt
Filed under: Zea mays
Lineage: Eukaryota; Viridiplantae; Streptophyta; Magnoliopsida; Poales; Poaceae
Description: drought-responsive long non-coding RNA
Source: RNAcentral